GCGGAGUGGUGGAUGGCCGCUGACAGAUACCGGCAUGCCGGGUAUGUCAGAGGAAAGUCCGGACUCCCAAAAGCAACGGUGCCGGGUAACGCCCGGGCGGGGUAACUCGACGGACAGCGCCACAGAAAUGAAACCGCCUCGGCAUGCCGGGGCAAGGGUGAAACGGUGGGGUAAGAGCCCACCGCCGGGCUGGUAACAGGCCGGGCAUGGCAAGCCCCACCGGGAGCAAUGCCAAAUAGGGAUCGCGCGGACCGCAAGGUUCGGGGCAGCUUUUGCCCCAGUAGAUCCGGGUUGGCAGCUAGAGGGAUGUUGGUAACAGCAUCCCAAGAGGAAUGGUCAUCUCGGGCGGGGCAACUCGUCUAUGACAGAAUCCGGCUUAUAGCCUCUCCGCGCGC
This 395-nucleotide RNase P RNA is filed under the name Tateyamaria sp. RNAcentral describes it as "RNase P RNA component class A". It matches the Rfam family "Bacterial RNase P class A". Rfam says of the family: Ribonuclease P (RNase P) is a ubiquitous endoribonuclease, found in archaea, bacteria and eukarya as well as chloroplasts and mitochondria. Its best characterised activity is the generation of mature 5'-ends of tRNAs by cleaving the 5'-leader elements of precursor-tRNAs. Cellular RNase Ps are ribonucleoproteins. The record is from RNAcentral. Lineage: Bacteria; Pseudomonadati; Pseudomonadota; Alphaproteobacteria; Rhodobacterales; Roseobacteraceae.